GUGAUAGUAGCAAGAGCAGUCUGCGGGUUUCUUCUUUUUUCUCAUUUUGUAAAAAAUGUCAUCCUGAUGUGUGACGAUUUCAACGUUAUAACAACAACUACUGUACUGUCUUGUCUUCUCCAGCCUGUCCUGGUGACUGGGCUCCAUAAGCCUCUGAAUGCAGCUCUGUGGAAGGCGGACAGCUUCAACCUGGAGUUUGCUGACCAUCAGGGAGACCUGCUGAACUGUAAAGAUGGACUUGUCUCGAACUCUGGAAUCAACGAGUUCUGGGACGGCUUCGAGGACCUCACCAAGAGACCCAAGUCUAAAGACGGAGACACCGUGGUGUACAGGCUGAAGGACUGGCCAUCAGGAGAGGAGUUCAUGGCCCUGAUGCCUUCCAGGUAUGAUGACCUGAUGAGGAAUCUGCCCCCUGCCUGAGUAUUGUGACCCUGAAGGGAACCUCAACCUGGCCUCUCAUCUACCCAGCUUCUUCGCACCCCAGACCUCGGACCACGCCUCUGCUGUGCUUAUGGAGUGGCAGCGUCUCAGGAGCAGGACUUUGGGACAGCUAACCUUCACAGGGAGGUCUCUGACAUCGUCUCUGUCCUGGUGUACGUAGGAGUGGCCAAGGGGAACGGAGUCCUGUCCAAGACGGGAGUGUUGAAGAGACUGGAGGAGGAAGACUUGGACGACAGCGUGAAGAAGAGAUUAAAGGAUUCCAGCGAGACGCCUGGAGCCUUGUGGCACAUCUACAUUAGCAAAGAUGUAGAGAAAAUUAAAGACUUUCUGCACAAGGUUGCUAAGGAGCAGGUAG
Oncorhynchus keta (chum salmon) is the source of this 796-nucleotide RNA transcript. It is a transcript of the gene named probable JmjC domain-containing histone demethylation protein 2C, with no coding region annotated. The record is from RefSeq and is a predicted model, not a curated record. The transcript has 6 exons. Lineage: Eukaryota; Metazoa; Chordata; Actinopteri; Salmoniformes; Salmonidae.